UGAUUGAAUGUCAAUAGGGGCAGGG
Molecule: non-coding RNA, 25 nt
Filed under: Mus musculus (house mouse)
Lineage: Eukaryota; Metazoa; Chordata; Mammalia; Rodentia; Muridae
Source: RNAcentral